AGGACGAACGCUGGCGGCGUGCUUAACACAUGCAAGUCGAGCGGAAAGGCCCUUCGGGGUACUCGAGCGGCGAACGGGUGAGUAACACGUGAGCAACCUGCCCUUAGCUUCGGGAUAGCUCCGGGAAACCGGAAUUAAUACCGGAUAUGACUAUGGCCGACAUCAGCCAUGGUGGAAAGUUUUUCGGCUAGGGAUGGACUCGCGGCCUAUCAGCUAGUUGGUGAGGUAACGGCUCACCAAGGCGACGACGGGUAGCCGGCCUGAGAGGGCGACCGGCCACACUGGGACUGAGACACGGCCCAGACUCCUACGGGAGGCAGCAGUGGGGAAUAUUGCGCAAUGGGCGAAAGCCUGACGCAGCGACGCCGCGUGGGGAUGAAUGCCUUCGGGUUGUAAACCCCUUUCAGCAGGGACGAAGCGAAGUGACGGUACCUGCAGAAGAAGCGCCGGCUAACUACGUGCCAGCAGCCGC
This 472-nucleotide ribosomal RNA is filed under the name uncultured bacterium. RNAcentral describes it as "SSU rRNA". It matches the Rfam family "Bacterial small subunit ribosomal RNA", at positions 26 to 518 of the family's 1533-position model. The record is from RNAcentral.